RNAcentral lists this long non-coding RNA (546 nucleotides) under Brassica rapa (field mustard). RNAcentral describes it as "long non-coding RNA (BRAP_LNC006287)". The record is from RNAcentral. Lineage: Eukaryota; Viridiplantae; Streptophyta; Magnoliopsida; Brassicales; Brassicaceae.
CCAUUUAGUUCAGCAUGUUAUAUAAUUAUUAUACAAACCGAUAUAGUUAUAUAAUAUUAUAAAGAGAUAAAAAAUUAUAAUGAAAAUAUUUGAUUCUAUUUUGUAAUUAAAAGCUUACAACUGAUUAGUUUCCUAACCAAAUAUUGCAAUAAGAACAUAAAUGUAAUAAAACGACCAUACUAAUUGAUUUUACAUUAAUACAUAUUCUUUCAUUUAAAAUAACAUCAUAUAUUUUUUUAUAAAAACUUAAAUUUAACCUAACACUAUUAACAAAAUUGAUCUUGCGCACCGUGCGAGUUAAACUUAGUUGAUAUUCAUUUAUUUAAAAUAAAAUAGUUUUAUUAAAAAAAAUAUUAAAAAAAAAAACUAAAAGUGAAAAAAAAAUAACAUACAAAAAAUAUAUAUAAGAUUUAAUUUAUUUUAAAAAUGAACAUGUUAGGUGGCGACUUCACAAUAGCUCCCACCGUAUUUUUACCGAUUUCGAACAAUAAUAGUAUAAUACCAAUAAAGAAAUAAUGAAAUCGAAUCAUUUCAUAUCGUUUUAAA